AUAUAUUUUAUAUAUAAUGAAACUGGGAUGAUACAGAGAGGAUUAACACAUCUCCCGAGCAAGGAUAACAGACAAAUUUAGGAAGCAUCCCAUAUUUCU
RNAcentral lists this small nuclear RNA (99 nucleotides) under Nannospalax galili (Upper Galilee mountains blind mole rat). Lineage: Eukaryota; Metazoa; Chordata; Mammalia; Rodentia; Spalacidae. The record is from RNAcentral.